Long non-coding RNA from Gallus gallus (chicken), 654 nucleotides. NCBI's taxonomy places the organism in Eukaryota, Metazoa, Chordata, Aves, Galliformes, Phasianidae. The record is from Ensembl.
ACCUGCUUCAAAGAGCUGCGGCAAGGCACGUCACUGCUCUUAGGGUAAUGGGCUGGAGUUCUUGAGCGAGUGGUGAUACAUAAAGGAGAAGUCUUUGCAUAAUUACUGAUACUUAGAAGAUUGCAUUCCAGAAAAUUUGAGGCAUCGCCGCUGAUCUUCCCAGCCAAAAUGAGAGCAGAAGCAGUAGCCAAGUGAUCCCACAUAAUCUGUCUGUCUCUCCUAUACCAAGGACUCCACAUCUAGACACAGUACUCCAGCUGUUUCAAAAGGCUCUGUGAAGGGACCUCCACAGUGAGAAGCAGCCUGAAGUGGGCACCACUGCUGGGAACAGACCCAGGGUGCAGCACAGCCUCUGAGGCUCUAGCAGAGAAAUUCGGUAGUUGAUAGCAGUGGUUGAUUAUUUAGUCCACAAGGAGUGAAAUGGCAAAGACAAAUGGGUUUGUCAUAGGAAGCCUGGGCACCUCAGCUCCCAAGCCACCGGAUGGGGCCCCAAAGCUUUGCAAUGCCCUUCUGGGUAAGGACAGGCCAUACCCAUAGAUCUCAGGCAAAGUGGCAGAUGGAGGGCCAUGGGGUGGCACAGCCCCUUAGGAAGCAGCAGAACUGCUGUUCACCCAGCUGCCAAACACAUCAGCAAGGGAGCUUUGCUGACCUCAG